AUUGAACGCUGGCGGAAUGCUUUACACAUGCAAGUCGAACGGUAGAGGGGCAACCCUUGAGAGUGGCGAACGGGUGAGUAAUGUAUCGGAACAUGCCCAGUCGUGGGGGAUAACGUAGCGAAAGUUACGCUAAUACCGCAUACGAUCUAUGGAUGAAAGCGGGGGAUCGCAAGACCUCGCGCGAUUGGAUUGGCCUAUAUCAGAUUAGGUAGUUGGUGGGGUAAAGGCCUACCAAGCCGACGAUCUGUAGCUGGUCUGAGAGGACGACCAGCCACACUGGGACUGAGACACGGCCCAGACUCCUACGGGAGGCAGCAGUGGGGAAUUUUGGACAAUGGGCGAAAGCCUGAUCCAGCCAUUCCGCGUGCAGGAAGAAGGCCUUCGGGUUGUAAACUGCUUUUGUACGGAACGAAACGCGCUGUGCUAAUACCACGGCGUAAUGACGGUACCGUAAGAAUAAGCACCGGCUAACUACGUGCCAGCCGCCGCAGUAA
This 494-nucleotide ribosomal RNA is filed under the name uncultured bacterium. RNAcentral's name for it is "partial 16S ribosomal RNA". It matches the Rfam family "Bacterial small subunit ribosomal RNA", at positions 30 to 523 of the family's 1533-position model. The record is from RNAcentral.